AGCAGCGUGGCUCAGUGGAAAGAGCCCGGGCCUGGGAGUCAGAGGUCAUGGGUUCGAAUCCCGGCUCUGCCA
This 72-nucleotide transfer RNA is filed under the name Ornithorhynchus anatinus (platypus). It matches the Rfam family "tRNA". From Rfam's summary of the family: Transfer RNA (tRNA) molecules are approximately 80 nucleotides in length. Their secondary structure includes four short double-helical elements and three loops (D, anti-codon, and T loops). The record is from Rfam by way of RNAcentral. Lineage: Eukaryota; Metazoa; Chordata; Mammalia; Monotremata; Ornithorhynchidae.